Long non-coding RNA from Sapajus apella (tufted capuchin), 179 nucleotides. RefSeq lists it as uncharacterized. NCBI's taxonomy places the organism in Eukaryota, Metazoa, Chordata, Mammalia, Primates, Cebidae. The transcript has 3 exons. The record is from RefSeq and is a predicted model, not a curated record.
CCCAAAAGUUCAAAUCCAAAGUCUCAUCUGAAAUAAGGCAAAUUCUUUCUGCCUAUGAGCCUGUAAAAUCAAAAGCAAUUCAGUUACUUCCUAGAUACAAUGGGGGUACAGGUAUCGGGUAAAUACACCUGUUCCAAAUGGAAGAAGUGGGACAAAUACAAAGGGGUAGCCAAUAUCCA